UAGGAUUUCUUUAGUAGCGGCGAGCGAAUAGGAAAAAGCCCAGCACCGAAUCCCGUGUUCAUUACUGGACGCUGGGAAAUGUGGUGUUAGGGAGGAUUCGUUAUCUUAAAAUUGUGCGGUGUUGUCCAAGUCCAUCUUGAACGGGGCCAUAAUCCAUAGAGGGUGCCAGGCCCGUAGUGACCGCUGCCGAUUUUAAGAGAAUCUCUCCUUAGAGUCGGGUUGCUUGAGAGUGCAGCCCUAAGUGGGUGGUAAACUCCAUCUAAGGCUAAAUAUAACCACGAGACCGAUAGCGAACAAGUACCGUGAGGGAAAGUUGAAAAGAACUUUGAAGAGAGAGUUCAAUAGUACGUGAAACCGUUUAGGGGUAAACCUGAGAAACCCGAAAGGUCGAAAGAGGAGAUUCAGCGUGUCUCGAUAAUGAUGAUUAACGAUUGUGCGACAAAUUACUUUCGAGUUUUUUGCACCUUUCGUUAUUUUAAAUCAAUGUCGAAUGCGUGCACUUCUCCUCCUGUAGGACGUUGCGAUUCGUUGGGUGUCUAUCUAAGGCUCAUGGUGGAGUUUGUUUAUCAUACGGUUUACAAACCCAUGAUGUUUCCCGAUAGACUCGCUCGACGAUAUAUAUAUGGCACGAGGCCGCUACAUAGUUAGCGUUUGACGCGUGGCAAGUACGUUUGUUAUAAUAGAUUACGGACCUGGUGCCGGUUCUGUUUUCAGACUGCUGUUCGCUACGUAGUUCUCAAACAGACCUCGUUGAAACGCCGAUCAGCAACGCUAUAGGUUUGGGUACUUUCAGGACCCGUCUUGAAACACGGACCAAGGAGUCUAGCAUGUGCGCAAGUCAUUGGGACAUUACUAAACCUAAAGGCGUAAUGAAAGUGAAAGUUCGUCUUGCACGAGCUAAGGGAAGACAAGUAAUUGUUUCGGCAAUUGUUUUGCAUUCCCAGGGCGUCUCAUUCUCAUUGCGAGAAGAG
RNAcentral lists this ribosomal RNA (971 nucleotides) under Prateus fusculus. RNAcentral's name for it is "eukaryotic LSU rRNA". It matches the Rfam family "Eukaryotic large subunit ribosomal RNA", at positions 70 to 789 of the family's 3401-position model. Lineage: Eukaryota; Metazoa; Arthropoda; Insecta; Coleoptera; Tenebrionidae. The record is from RNAcentral.